RNAcentral lists this transfer RNA (73 nucleotides) under Dictyocaulus viviparus (bovine lungworm). It matches the Rfam family "tRNA". From Rfam's summary of the family: Transfer RNA (tRNA) molecules are approximately 80 nucleotides in length. Lineage: Eukaryota; Metazoa; Nematoda; Chromadorea; Rhabditida; Metastrongylidae. The record is from Rfam by way of RNAcentral.
GCCUCAGUAGUGUAAUGGAUCAGCACGACAGACCGCAUAUUUGUAAGUGCGAGUUCGAUUCCCGCCUGAGGUU